RNAcentral lists this ribosomal RNA (301 nucleotides) under uncultured bacterium. Its description in RNAcentral is "partial 16S ribosomal RNA". It matches the Rfam family "Bacterial small subunit ribosomal RNA", at positions 509 to 809 of the family's 1533-position model. The record is from RNAcentral.
CAGCAGCCACGGUAAUACGGAGGGUGCAAGCGUUAAUCGGAAUUACUGGGCGUAAAGCGCACGCAGGCGGUCUGACAAGUCAGAUGUGAAAUCCCCGGGCUUAACCUGGGAACUGCAUUUGAAACUGUCAGGCUGGAGUCUUGUAGAGGGGGGUGGAAUUCCAGGUGUAGCGGUGAAAUGCGUAGAGAUCUGGAGGAAUACCGGUGGCGAAGGCGGCCCCCUGGACAAAGACUGACGCUCAGGUGCGAAAGCGUGGGGAGCAAACAGGAUUAGAUACCCGCGUAGCCCUGUCUCUUAUACA